GGGUCAGUAGGUUGGUCGUGCCACCGGUACGUACUGGUCUCACUGAUUCCUCCUUCCUGAGGAACCGUAAUGCCAUUAAUUUGGUGUUGAGGGGAAACAGGACUGUUACUUUGAAAAAAUUAGAGUGUUUAAAGCAAGCUAACGCUUGAAUACAUUAGCAUGGAAUAAUGAAAUAGGACGAUCGAUCCUAUUUUGUUGGUUUCUAGGAUUGACGUA
RNAcentral lists this ribosomal RNA (216 nucleotides) under Glomeromycotina sp. RNAcentral's name for it is "partial small subunit ribosomal RNA". The stretch from base 40 to 216 matches the Rfam family "Eukaryotic small subunit ribosomal RNA", at positions 686 to 864 of the family's 1831-position model. Lineage: Eukaryota; Fungi; Glomeromycota. The record is from RNAcentral.